GGGGAUUUAGCUCAGAGGUAGAGCACUUGCCUAGCAAGCACAAGGCCCUGGGUUCGGUCCCCAGCUCUG
Molecule: transfer RNA, 69 nt
Filed under: Rattus norvegicus (Norway rat)
Lineage: Eukaryota; Metazoa; Chordata; Mammalia; Rodentia; Muridae
Rfam family: tRNA
About the family: Transfer RNA (tRNA) molecules are approximately 80 nucleotides in length.
Source: Rfam by way of RNAcentral